AAUGGGUAGUACAGAGGGUUGCCAAGCCGUAAGGUGGAGCUAAUCCCUUAAAGCUACUCUCAGUUCGGAUUGUAGGCUGAAACUCGCCUACAUGAAGCUGGAGUUACUAGUAAUCGCAGAUCAGAAUGCUGCGGUGAAUGCGUUCCCGGGUCUUGUACACACCGCCCGUCACACCACGGGAGUUGGAGACGCCCGAAGCCGAUUAUCUAACCUUUUGGAAGAAGUCGUCGAAGGUGGAAUCAAUAACUGGGGUGAAGUCGUAACAAGGUAGCCGUAUCGGAAGGUGCGGCUGGAUCACCUCCUUUCUAAGGAGA
RNAcentral lists this ribosomal RNA (314 nucleotides) under Clostridioides difficile. Its description in RNAcentral is "partial 16S ribosomal RNA". It matches the Rfam family "Bacterial small subunit ribosomal RNA", at positions 1229 to 1533 of the family's 1533-position model. Lineage: Bacteria; Bacillati; Bacillota; Clostridia; Peptostreptococcales; Peptostreptococcaceae. The record is from RNAcentral.